This 1135-nucleotide ribosomal RNA is filed under the name Fusarium solani. RNAcentral describes it as "partial 18S ribosomal RNA". The stretch from base 512 to 1135 matches the Rfam family "Eukaryotic large subunit ribosomal RNA", at positions 1 to 648 of the family's 3401-position model. The record is from RNAcentral. Lineage: Eukaryota; Fungi; Ascomycota; Sordariomycetes; Hypocreales; Nectriaceae.
UCUCCGUUGGUGAACCAGCGGAGGGAUCAUUACCGAGUUAUACAACUCAUCAACCCUGUGAACAUACCUAAAACGUUGCUUCGGCGGGAACAGACGGCCCUGUAACAACGGGCCGCCCCCGCCAGAGGACCCCUAACUCUGUUUUUAUAAUGUUUUUCUGAGUAAACAAGCAAAUAAAUUAAAACUUUCAACAACGGAUCUCUUGGCUCUGGCAUCGAUGAAGAACGCAGCGAAAUGCGAUAAGUAAUGUGAAUUGCAGAAUUCAGUGAAUCAUCGAAUCUUUGAACGCACAUUGCGCCCGCCAGUAUUCUGGCGGGCAUGCCUGUUCGAGCGUCAUUACAACCCUCAGGCCCCCGGGCCUGGCGUUGGGGAUCGGCGGAAGCCCCCUGUGGGCACACGCCGUCCCUCAAAUACAGUGGCGGUCCCGCCGCAGCUUCCAUUGCGUAGUAGCUAACACCUCGCAACUGGAGAGCGGCGCGGCCAUGCCGUAAAACACCCAACUUCUGAAUGUUGACCUCGAAUCAGGUAGGAAUACCCGCUGAACUUAAGCAUAUCAAUAAGCGGAGGAAAAGAAACCAACAGGGAUUGCCCCAGUAACGGCGAGUGAAGCGGCAACAGCUCAAAUUUGAAAUCUGGCUCUCGGGCCCGAGUUGUAAUCCGUAGAGGAUGCUUUUGGUGAGGUGCCUUCCGAGUUCCCUGGAACGGGACGCCAUAGAGGGUGAGAGCCCCGUCUGGUUGGACACCGAUCCUCUGUAAAGCUCCUUCGACGAGUCGAGUAGUUUGGGAAUGCUGCUCUAAAUGGGAGGUAUAUGUCUUCUAAAGCUAAAUACCGGCCAGAGACCGAUAGCGCACAAGUAGAGUGAUCGAAAGAUGAAAAGAACUUUGAAAAGAGAGUUAAACAGUACGUGAAAUUGUUGAAAGGGAAGCGCUUGUGACCAGACUUGGGCUUGGUUGAUCAUCCGGGGUUCUCCCCGGUGCACUCUUCCGGCUCAGGCCAGCAUCAGUUCGCCCUGGGGGAUAAAGGCUUCGGGAAUGUGGCUCUCUCCGGGGAGUGUUAUAGCCCGCUGCGUAAUACCCUGUGGCGGACUGAGGUUCGCGCAUUCGCAAGGAUGCUGGCGUAAUGGUCAUCAGUGAC